CUUAAAAUUUUAAUUCAUCUUCAACAAAAAUAAAAAAUUACUAUUAAAUUUUAUUAUAAUUCUAAAGACAAAAAAUUUUUCUAAUUCUUCUUAAUUAUCAUCUAUAUAUUGAUCUAUCAUUAAAUUAAAAUUAAAUAUGCUAAAUUACAUUCAAAUAAUUCAUUAACAACUAUAUAUAAAAAAUAAAUUAAAUGAAAUUCAAAGUGUAAUUUCCACUUAAAGAACAAGAUUCUUUAAUAAUUAAGUACCGCCAAAUAAACUAACUUUAACUAUUACAUUAAUUACUAUUUAAAUUUCAUUAAUUUUUCUAGGGUAUCUAAUCCUAUUAACUUAAAUUAAUUAAAAUUGAAAAUUCAUAAUCAAAUUAAAAUCUAAAAAUUUCACUUAAAUAUUUUAAUUAAAAUCAAACCUAAAUUUCAAGUACAAGGAAAUUUUAAUUUCACCAAUCAUGUA
This 453-nucleotide ribosomal RNA is filed under the name Dactylopius confusus. RNAcentral's name for it is "partial 12S ribosomal RNA". RNAcentral also lists the same sequence under 1 other name. Lineage: Eukaryota; Metazoa; Arthropoda; Insecta; Hemiptera; Dactylopiidae. The record is from RNAcentral.